RNAcentral lists this small nuclear RNA (157 nucleotides) under Monodelphis domestica (gray short-tailed opossum). RNAcentral's name for it is "U1 spliceosomal RNA (ENSMODG00000027008.1)". It matches the Rfam family "U1 spliceosomal RNA". From Rfam's summary of the family: U1 is a small nuclear RNA (snRNA) component of the spliceosome (involved in pre-mRNA splicing). Its 5' end forms complementary base pairs with the 5' splice junction, thus defining the 5' donor site of an intron. The record is from RNAcentral. Lineage: Eukaryota; Metazoa; Chordata; Mammalia; Didelphimorphia; Didelphidae.
UUAAUUAGCUGGGAGGGAUGAUUCUAAAAUCAUGAAGAUGGUUUCCACAGAGCAAGAUUUAUCCAUUGCUCUCUGCAUAGCCUGUCCCUAUGAUUUCCCCAAAUGCUGGGAACUUAACUAAACAUUUUGUAAUAGUGGGGAAUAGUACUGGCACUUU